Long non-coding RNA from Formica exsecta, 1575 nucleotides. RefSeq lists it as uncharacterized. The record is from RefSeq and is a predicted model, not a curated record. NCBI's taxonomy places the organism in Eukaryota, Metazoa, Arthropoda, Insecta, Hymenoptera, Formicidae. The transcript has 3 exons.
AAAGCAUCUGCCGGGGAUACAUCAAAUAUACAAAAAUCUUUUCCGUUUAAGAGUAUAAAUGAAGUAAUAGCUUUUGAAAAGAAUUUAUCAGAAAAUGCAGAUGAGUACAACAAAUUUAUGCUGUAUAUAUCUCGCAUAGGCGGAGGGUCCGCUAAAGAAAAUUUAAUUCGUAUAUAUCGAACUUUAUUUUCUAAUGAAGUUGCCAAGGUAUCAUCCUGGAAAGGACUACGUAAUCAUUUUAAAAUAAGUAGUUUAAAGUCUAUAUUGACGGGAAUACAAGCAACAAUUUUGGCUCAACAUCAAUUCACAAACAAAGAGUUUGAGGACAUCACGAAAGAAUGGUUUCGCCAAGGUGGUCAAAGGCUUAGCAGACAACAAAAAAACUCCGAAGAGGCAAAUCCGCAAGUUAUUUAAAUGUCUCAAAAGCUUAUUAUUUUUUCAUUAUAAUCUUUUUUCUUAUUAGUCUAUGAGCUUUCGGCUUAUGAUCUUUUUUUUAUUGGCCUAGAGUCUUAAUUAACAUAAGAAAUAUUUUUUUUAAUUAAUAUGUUUUUUUUAUAUUGAAUGAUUUUAACACUAAACCUACCACGACUGGUUAAAUAAUCGGUCAAAACGUUAUCAAAGAUUAAAAAUUUCUGCAUUUGGUAUGCAUAAGUUGUCGGUGGAUUUAGUGUUAAAUACUUAAGUUUUUAGAUUUUUAUGUUCUAAAAUCUAAAAUCAUAGUCUGCACUCUUUUCAUUUUGAGUUCUCAACGUUAUUAUUUGAGUUAAAUACUUCUUUUAGGAGAAUUAGCAGAAUUAAAGUAUGCAUUAUGUUGAUACAUUUAAUACUUUAUCUCAAUCUUUUUAAUUACAAAAAGUAUAAUUGCUUUAUUGUUUUUCUUUCAAAUGAAAAUCGAAUUGCGUUUCCAUUUUUGUUUAAAUUAGAUUUAUUUUAACGGUACACACUUAUAUUAUGUAUUAUUAACAAAUGUGUUAUAAUUAACGAAUCAUACAUGAAUCUCAAAGAUUUUGACAAAUGUGUUUAUGAAAAGUUUAUGGAUGUAAAAAUUAUAGUUUUCAUGUGGGGAGAAGCCUAAAAAACUCAUUUCUUAUUAAUGUAGUAUAGCGUUAAAACAAAAAAUAAUAUCGCAAAUAUUCGAGUGUACCGUGAAGGUUAAAUUUAUCAUAUUAAUUACUAUUAUAAUAAAUUUAUAAUUUAUAAUAUUUAUAAAUUUAAUUAAUUUAUAAUAUUAUUAAUUGUUAUUAGUGUAAUACUAUAUUUUGCAACAAAAUUAGGAAAUUAUUGUACUUCGGCGUAAAAAGGCGUAGAAAGGAUGAAAUUCAAAUUGAUAUACUUUUCGAAAAAAUGAUCACAGAGUGAUAUUUAAAACAGAUUUUAAAGCUAGAAAACAUAACUUCCAAAUGCUCUGACGAAGAUUUCUCUAACGAUUUUUCUUAUACAGAUUUUAUUACAAGUGGUGCUACUUUAAAAUGAGCUUUGGAAUUGUAGAAAAAAACUUCAACUUUAAUAGGCGAGUACGUAGAGAACAAUUUUUUCAUCAAUUUUAUUAAUUGUAAUAAAAUUUAACAUUUUCUC